This 483-nucleotide ribosomal RNA is filed under the name uncultured bacterium. RNAcentral's name for it is "bacterial SSU rRNA". It matches the Rfam family "Bacterial small subunit ribosomal RNA", at positions 28 to 524 of the family's 1533-position model. The record is from RNAcentral.
GACGAACGCUGGCGGCAUGCCUAAUACAUGCAAGUCGAACGCGACCAGCCGGUGCUUGCACUGGCGAAGUCGAGUGGCGAACGGGUGAGUAACACGUGAGAAACCUACCCUGGAGUGGGGAAUAACUCGAAGAAAUUCGAGCUAAUACCGCAUACCUUCUUACCGUCGAAUGGUGGUUUGAAGAAAGAUUUAUCGCUCUGGGAGGGUCUCGCGGCCUAUCAGCUAGUUGGUGAGGUAACGGCUCACCAAGGCAUCGACGGGUAGCUGGUCUGAGAGGACGAUCAGCCACACUGGAACUGAGACACGGUCCAGACUCCUACGGGAGGCAGCAGUAGGGAAUCUUGCGCAAUGGGCGAAAGCCUGACGCAGCAAUGCCGCGUGCGGGACGAAGGCCCUAGGGUCGUAAACCGCUUUCAGUAGGGACGAAAAUGACGGUACCUGCAGAGAAGCUCCGGCCAACUACGUGCCAGCAGCCGCGGUAAU